Long non-coding RNA from Empidonax traillii (willow flycatcher), 113 nucleotides. RefSeq lists it as uncharacterized. The record is from RefSeq and is a predicted model, not a curated record. The transcript is spliced from 5 exons. NCBI's taxonomy places the organism in Eukaryota, Metazoa, Chordata, Aves, Passeriformes, Tyrannidae.
AGGAGUAAUAAGUGGACUAGAACAUCUCUCCUCUGAGGAAAGGAUGAGAGACUUGGGAUUGGUCAGCCUGGAAAAGAGAAGGCUUCAGGGUGACCUAAUUAAUGUAUAAACAG